Molecule: ribosomal RNA, 216 nt
Filed under: uncultured bacterium
Lineage: Bacteria
Description: partial 16S ribosomal RNA
Rfam family: Bacterial small subunit ribosomal RNA
Source: RNAcentral
UGGGAACGUGCCCAAAGGUACGGAACAACUCCGGGAAACUGGAGCUAAUACCGUAUGUGCCCGAAAGGGGAAAGAUUCAUCGCCUUUGGAUCGGCCCGCGUCUGAUUAGCUAGUUGGCGGGGUAAUGGCCCACCAAGGCGACGAUCAGUAGCUGGUCUGAGAGGAUGACCAGCCACACUGGGACUGAGACACGGCCCAGACUCCUGCGGGAGGCAG